ACGCGUGGAACCUUACCAGGUCUUGACAUCCUCUGACACUCCUAGAGAUAGGACGUUCCCCUUCGGGGGACAGAGUGACAGGUGGUGCAUGGUUGUCGUCAGCUCGUGUCGUGAGAUGUUGGGUUAAGUCCCGCAACGAGCGCAACCCUUGAUCUUAGUUGCCAGCAUUAAGUUGGGCACUCUAAGGUGACUGCCGGUGACAAACCGGAGGAAGGUGGGGAUGACGUCAAAUCAUCAUGCCCCUUAUGACCUGGGCUACACACGUGCUACAAUGGAUGGUACAAAGGGCAGCAAAACCGCGAGGUCGAGCAAAUCCCAUAAAACCAUUCUCAGUUCGGAUUGUAGGCUGCAACUCGCCUACAUGAAGCUGGAAUCGCUAGUAAUCGCGGAUCAGCAUGCCGCGGUGAAUACGUUCCUGGGCCUUGCACACACCGCCCGU
RNAcentral lists this ribosomal RNA (439 nucleotides) under uncultured bacterium. Its description in RNAcentral is "bacterial SSU rRNA". It matches the Rfam family "Bacterial small subunit ribosomal RNA", at positions 959 to 1397 of the family's 1533-position model. The record is from RNAcentral.